UCUUCCGUAGUAUAGUGGUCAGUAUAUGAGCUUGUCAAGAUCUCUUCGGAGACUCGCCAUCGCUCGGGACCCGGGUUCAAUUCCCGGCGGGAGAG
Molecule: non-coding RNA, 95 nt
Organism: Cytospora paraplurivora
Lineage: Eukaryota; Fungi; Ascomycota; Sordariomycetes; Diaporthales; Cytosporaceae
Source: the annotation of a GenBank genome assembly